ACAGGGAUUGCCCUAGUAACGGCGAGUGAAGCGGCAACAGCUCAAAUUUGAAAUCUGGCGUCUUUGGCGUCCGAGUUGUAAUUUGCAGAGGGCGCUUUGGCAUUGGCAGCGGUCCAAGUUCCUUGGAACAGGACGUCACAGAGGGUGAGAAUCCCGUACGUGGUCGCUAGCCUUUACCGUGUAAAGCCCCUUCGACGAGUCGAGUUGUUUGGGAAUGCAGCUCUAAAUGGGAGGUAAAUUUCUUCUAAAGCUAAAUACUGGCCAGAGACCGAUAGCGCACAAGUAGAGUGAUCGAAAGAUGAAAAGCACUUUGGAAAGAGAGUUAAAAAGCACGUGAAAUUGUUGAAAGGGAAGCGCUUGCAGCCAGACUUGCCUGUAGUUGCUCAUCCGGGUUUUUACCCGGUGCACUCUUCUAUAGGCAGGCCAGCAUCAGUUUGGGCGGUUGGAUAAAGGUCUCUGUCACGUACCUCCUCUCGGGGAGAACUUAUAGGGGAGACGAAAUGCAACCAGCCUGGACUGAGGUCCGCGCAUCUGCUAGGAUGCUGGCGUAAUGGCUGUAAGCGGCCCGUCUUGAAACACGGACCAAGGAGUCUAACAUCUAUGCGAGUGUUUGGGUGUCAAGCCCGAGCGCGUAAUGAAAGUGAACGGAGGUGGGAACCUUUCGGGGUGCACCAUCGACCGAUCCUGAUGUCUUCGGAUGGAUUUGAGUAAGAGCAUAGCUGUUGGGACCCGAAAGAUGGUGAACUAUGCUUGAAUAGGGUGAAGCCAGAGGAAACUCUGGUGGAGGCUCGCAGCGGUUCUGACGUGCAAAUCGAUCGUCAAAUUUGGGCAUAGGGGCGAAAGACUAAUCGAACAU
Molecule: ribosomal RNA, 856 nt
Filed under: Boeremia galiicola
Lineage: Eukaryota; Fungi; Ascomycota; Dothideomycetes; Pleosporales; Didymellaceae
Description: partial large subunit ribosomal RNA
Rfam family: Eukaryotic large subunit ribosomal RNA
Source: RNAcentral